Molecule: ribosomal RNA, 2251 nt
Filed under: Escherichia coli
Lineage: Bacteria; Pseudomonadati; Pseudomonadota; Gammaproteobacteria; Enterobacterales; Enterobacteriaceae
Description: partial 23S ribosomal RNA
Rfam family: Bacterial large subunit ribosomal RNA
Source: RNAcentral
UAAGUUGCAGGGUAUAGACCCGAAACCCGGUGAUCUAGCCAUGGGCAGGUUGAAGGUUGGGUAACACUAACUGGAGGACCGAACCGACUAAUGUUGAAAAAUUAGCGGAUGACUUGUGGCUGGGGGUGAAAGGCCAAUCAAACCGGGAGAUAGCUGGUUCUCCCCGAAAGCUAUUUAGGUAGCGCCUCGUGAAUUCAUCUCCGGGGGUAGAGCACUGUUUCGGCAAGGGGGUCAUCCCGACUUACCAACCCGAUGCAAACUGCGAAUACCGGAGAAUGUUAUCACGGGAGACACACGGCGGGUGCUAACGUCCGUCGUGAAGAGGGAAACAACCCAGACCGCCAGCUAAGGUCCCAAAGUCAUGGUUAAGUGGGAAACGAUGUGGGAAGGCCCAGACAGCCAGGAUGUUGGCUUAGAAGCAGCCAUCAUUUAAAGAAAGCGUAAUAGCUCACUGGUCGAGUCGGCCUGCGCGGAAGAUGUAACGGGGCUAAACCAUGCACCGAAGCUGCGGCAGCGACACUGUGUGUUGUUGGGUAGGGGAGCGUUCUGUAAGCCUGUGAAGGUGUGCUGUGAGGCAUGCUGGAGGUAUCAGAAGUGCGAAUGCUGACAUAAGUAACGAUAAAGCGGGUGAAAAGCCCGCUCGCCGGAAGACCAAGGGUUCCUGUCCAACGUUAAUCGGGGCAGGGUGAGUCGACCCCUAAGGCGAGGCCGAAAGGCGUAGUCGAUGGGAAACAGGUUAAUAUUCCUGUACUUGGUGUUACUGCGAAGGGGGGACGGAGAAGGCUAUGUUGGCCGGGCGACGGUUGUCCCGGUUUAAGCGUGUAGGCUGGUUUUCCAGGCAAAUCCGGAAAAUCAAGGCUGAGGCGUGAUGACGAGGCACUACGGUGCUGAAGCAACAAAUGCCCUGCUUCCAGGAAAAGCCUCUAAGCAUCAGGUAACAUCAAAUCGUACCCCAAACCGACACAGGUGGUCAGGUAGAGAAUACCAAGGCGCUUGAGAGAACUCGGGUGAAGGAACUAGGCAAAAUGGUGCCGUAACUUCGGGAGAAGGCACGCUGAUAUGUAGGUGAAGUCCCUCGCGGAUGGAGCUGAAAUCAGUCGAAGAUACCAGCUGGCUGCAACUGUUUAUUAAAAACACAGCACUGUGCAAACACGAAAGUGGACGUAUACGGUGUGACGCCUGCCCGGUGCCGGAAGGUUAAUUGAUGGGGUCAGCGCAAGCGAAGCUCUUGAUCGAAGCCCCGGUAAACGGCGGCCGUAACUAUAACGGUCCUAAGGUAGCGAAAUUCCUUGUCGGGUAAGUUCCGACCUGCACGAAUGGCGUAAUGAUGGCCAGGCUGUCUCCACCCGAGACUCAGUGAAAUUGAACUCGCUGUGAAGAUGCAGUGUACCCGCGGCAAGACGGAAAGACCCCGUGAACCUUUACUAUAGCUUGACACUGAACAUUGAGCCUUGAUGUGUAGGAUAGGUGGGAGGCUUUGAAGUGUGGACGCCAGUCUGCAUGGAGCCGACCUUGAAAUACCACCCUUUAAUGUUUGAUGUUCUAACGUGGACCCGUGAUCCGGGUUGCGGACAGUGUCUGGUGGGUAGUUUGACUGGGGCGGUCUCCUCCUAAAGAGUAACGGAGGAGCACGAAGGUUGGCUAAUCCUGGUCGGACAUCAGGAGGUUAGUGCAAUGGCAUAAGCCAGCUUGACUGCGAGCGUGACGGCGCGAGCAGGUGCGAAAGCAGGUCAUAGUGAUCCGGUGGUUCUGAAUGGAAGGGCCAUCGCUCAACGGAUAAAAGGUACUCCGGGGAUAACAGGCUGAUACCGCCCAAGAGUUCAUAUCGACGGCGGUGUUUGGCACCUCGAUGUCGGCUCAUCACAUCCUGGGGCUGAAGUAGGUCCCAAGGGUAUGGCUGUUCGCCAUUUAAAGUGGUACGCGAGCUGGGUUUAGAACGUCGUGAGACAGUUCGGUCCCUAUCUGCCGUGGGCGCUGGAGAACUGAGGGGGGCUGCUCCUAGUACGAGAGGACCGGAGUGGACGCAUCACUGGUGUUCGGGUUGUCAUGCCAAUGGCACUGCCCGGUAGCUAAAUGCGGAAGAGAUAAGUGCUGAAAGCAUCUAAGCACGAAACUUGCCCCGAGAUGAGUUCUCCCUGACCCUUUAAGGGUCCUGAAGGAACGUUGAAGACGACGACGUUGAUAGGCCGGGUGUGUAAGCGCAGCGAUGCGUUGAGCUAACCGGUACUAAUGAACCGUGAGGCUUAACCUU